RNAcentral lists this non-coding RNA (45 nucleotides) under Schistosoma mansoni. The record is from RNAcentral. Lineage: Eukaryota; Metazoa; Platyhelminthes; Trematoda; Strigeidida; Schistosomatidae.
UUCCAGCUGAUGAGUUCCAAAUAGGACAAAGCGCGUGUCCUGCAU